Molecule: ribosomal RNA, 497 nt
Filed under: uncultured bacterium
Lineage: Bacteria
Description: partial 16S ribosomal RNA
Rfam family: Bacterial small subunit ribosomal RNA
Source: RNAcentral
GAUGAACGCUGGCGGCGUGCCUAAUACAUGCAAGUCGAGCGAACAGAUGAGGCGCUUGCCCCUCUGACGUUAGCGGCGGGCGGGGGAGUAACACGUGGGUAACCUAGCUAUAAGACUGGGAUUAAUUCGGGAAACCGGAAGUUAUACCGGCUAAUCUAUUGAACCGCAUAGUUCAAUAGUUAAAGGCGGUUUUCCUGUCACUUAUAGCUGGAUCCGGGCCGGAUUAGCUAGUUGGUAAGGUAACGGCUUACCUAGGCCACGAUGCGUAGCCGAUCUGAGAGGGUGAUCAGCCACACUGGAACUGAGACACGGUCCAGACUCCUACGGGAGGCAGCAGUAGGGAAUAUUGCGCAAUGGGCGAAAGCCUGACGGAGCCACGCCGCGUGUGUGAAGAAGGCCUUCGGAUUGUAAAACUCUGUUAUUGGGGAAGAAGAAAUGUGUAAUUAACCCUGCACGCAUUGACGGUACCCGAAGAGAAAGCACCGGCUAACUACGUG